GUGAACGCUGGCGGUAGGCCUAACACAUUCAAGUCGAACGGCAGCACCGUAAGAGCUUGCUCUUACGGGUGGCGAGUGGCGGACGAGUGAGGAAUACAUCGGAAUCUACUUUUUCGUGGGGGAUAACGUAGGGAAACUUACGCUAAUACCGCAUACUACCUACGGGUGAAAGCAGGGGAUCUUCGGACCUUGCGCGAUUGAAUGAGCCGAUGUCGGAUUAGAUAGUUGGCGGGGUAAAGGCCCACCAAGGCGACGAUCCGUAGCUGGUCUGAGAGGAUGAUCAGCCACACUGGAACUGAGACACGGUCCAGACUCCUACGGGAGGCAGCAGUGGGGAAUAUUGGACAAUGGGCGCAAGCCUGAUCCAGCCAUACCGCGUGGGUGAAGAAGGCCUUCGGGUUGUAAAGCCCUUUUGUUGGGAAAGAAAAGCAGCAGGUUAAUACCCCGCUGUUCUGACGGUACCCAAAGAAUAAGCACCGGCUAACUUCGUG
RNAcentral lists this ribosomal RNA (491 nucleotides) under uncultured bacterium. RNAcentral's name for it is "partial 16S ribosomal RNA". It matches the Rfam family "Bacterial small subunit ribosomal RNA", at positions 29 to 507 of the family's 1533-position model. The record is from RNAcentral.